This 609-nucleotide long non-coding RNA is filed under the name Equus asinus (donkey). RNAcentral's name for it is "lncRNA (ENSEASG00005025257.1)". The record is from RNAcentral. Lineage: Eukaryota; Metazoa; Chordata; Mammalia; Perissodactyla; Equidae.
GGCAUUUCUCAUUGGCUGAGCUGCAGAUUUUCUCAUUGGCUGAGCUGUGGCGUUUCUCAUUGGCUGACCUGUGGAGGCUUCUCAUUGGCUGAGCUAUGGCGCUUCUCAUUGGCUGAGCUGUGGUGUUUCUCAUUGGCUGGGCUGUGGUGUUUCUCAUUGGCUGAGCUGUGGAGGCUUCUCAUUGGCUGAGCUAUGGCAUUUCUCAUUGGCUGAGCUGUGGCGUUUCUCAUUGGCUGAGCUGUGGCGUUUCUCAUUGGCUGAGCUGUGGAGGCUUCUCAUUGGCUGAGCUGUGGUGUUUCUCAUUGGCUUGCUGUGGUGUUUCUCAUUGGCUGAGCUGUGGUGUUUCUCAUUGGCUGAGCUGUGGUGUUUCUCUUUGGCUGGGCUGUGGUGUUUCUCAUUGGCUGAGCUGUGGUGUUUCUCAUUGGCUGAGCUGUGGUGUUUCUCUUUGGCUGGGCUGUGGUGUUUCUCAUUGGCUGAGCUGUGGUGUUUCUCAUUGGCUGAGCUGCGGUGCUUCUCAUUGGCUGAGCUGUGGUGUUUCUCAUUGUCUGGGCUGUGGUGUUUCUCAUUGGCUGAGCUGUGGAGGCUUCUCAUUGGCUGAGCUGUGGUGUU